GCUAUUUUUGUCAUUUUGUAAUUGACUAAUGGCAAAUUAACUUCAAUUUAGACAAAAUGACUAAUCUGUAAACAGUAUGAAAUCAUAGGGAUGUUCAUGUUUCAAAUUGAAACGUGGGGAUUUAGUUGUGGACCUCAAGGGCCAAAUUUUAAUUUACCCUUUAUCUUUUAUUGGAAGAAAAAAAAGAGCACCCUUUUGCAAUUGUUAAAUUGACUUCUAAUUGAAUCUAACUCACAAUGGGGGCAUUAGAGAUAACAACCUAUGCCGUUUCUUUUGCACUAAAAAAUAUUUAAAUUAAUUUUCAGUAGAACAAUAAACAGAAUGUUUUUAAAUAUAAUAUUUAUGUAUCAUUAUAAAUUUCACUUUUCAUAAAUUACUACACAAUUAGAUAUCCGUACGCUAAAAACUACGUGUAUAUCUACUACAACUACAUCAUGUUGAG
Molecule: unclassified non-coding RNA, 442 nt
Filed under: Hevea brasiliensis (rubber tree)
Lineage: Eukaryota; Viridiplantae; Streptophyta; Magnoliopsida; Malpighiales; Euphorbiaceae
Source: RNAcentral